Long non-coding RNA from Uranotaenia lowii, 466 nucleotides. RefSeq lists it as uncharacterized. Lineage: Eukaryota; Metazoa; Arthropoda; Insecta; Diptera; Culicidae. The transcript is spliced from 3 exons. The record is from RefSeq and is a predicted model, not a curated record.
UGACCGAAGCUACAACAGCGGAAAUCGAGGAAGUUUGCGGUUAUGCAGCAAAUUUCGAUAGCUAUUGGUCGGAAUCCAACUAAUAAUCUGCAUCUGAGAACCUUUAUCGAAAAUCCUGAUAUUCCGCGCUUGCCCGCCGGAGUCCUUUACGAAAAAUUUGGCAACGGUGGCACGCGGUGCUGGUUUGUUGAUCAAGACGGUCAAAAACUUCGGCAUCAUGCGUAACGUGCCGCGGAUUGGUGCUUGAUGCCCGUCACCUGAGACGAGGGGGGAAUUAUUAUAGCCCACGGCAAGGCUGUGUUGCUCAAAAGGUGGACCGAUACUCAACGUUUUUCAGUUACGAGCUAACGGCGCUUCCAUCAGCGAUUUCAAGUGGCCAAAAUUAAUCAUCGAAGGUGCAUGUGCAUGUUCCUAGGCGUAUUGAUCAGCCCAAGGACAUUUUGUGAUGGUCACAUUUUCAUUGGUG